GAUGAACGCUGGCGGCGUGCCUAAUACAUGCAAGUCGAGCGAACGGACGAGAAGCUUGCUUCUCUGAUGUUAGCGGCGGACGGGUGAGUAACACGUGGAUAACCUACCUAUAAGACUGGGAUAACUUCGGGAAACCGGAGCUAAUACCGGAUAAUAUUUUGAACCGCAUGGUUCAAAAGUGAAAGACGGUCUUGCUGUCACUUAUAGAUGGAUCCGCGCUGCAUUAGCUAGUUGGUAAGGUAACGGCUUACCAAGGCAACGAUGCAUAGCCGACCUGAGAGGGUGGUCGGCCACACUGGAACUGAGACACGGUCCAGACUCCUACGGGAGGCAGCAGUAGGGAAUCUGCCGCAAUGGGCGGAAGCCUGACGGAGCAACGCCGCGUGAGUGAUGAAGGUCUUCGGAUCGUAAAACUCUGUUAUUAGGGAAGAACAUAUGUGUAAGUAACUGUGCACAUCUUGACGGUACCUAAUCAGAAAGCCCCGGCUAACUACGUG
This 497-nucleotide ribosomal RNA is filed under the name uncultured bacterium. Its description in RNAcentral is "partial 16S ribosomal RNA". It matches the Rfam family "Bacterial small subunit ribosomal RNA", at positions 28 to 507 of the family's 1533-position model. The record is from RNAcentral.